CUCGGUCCAAUUCUCAGCGGAGGAGUUCUGGAGAGGCGGGGGGAGCUCCGCCGGAACGAUGCCUGCGCCGCCUGGGAAGCCCCCCGGCGGCGGGUUGUGCGCUCUUCUUCUUCCUCUUCGUCAGCGUGGUCGUCGUCGUCUUCAGCUUGCUCUCCCUUCUGGGCUCCGGGCAUGGAGGGCGAGCAUCCACCAGGCGACCCUCCACAGUGGAGAUGACGCCAGCGCCGCCGCCACCGCCGGAGAAAAAGAGCCGGGUGAUCAGAGAAAUGGCGGAGGAGCAGCCCUGAAAGAAGAGCACCAGGAAAGCGCCGCCGUGAGGCGGCUGAGCGAGCUACUCCGG
This 340-nucleotide long non-coding RNA is filed under the name Spirodela polyrhiza (greater duckweed). RNAcentral's name for it is "long non-coding RNA (SPOL_LNC002445)". Lineage: Eukaryota; Viridiplantae; Streptophyta; Magnoliopsida; Alismatales; Araceae. The record is from RNAcentral.